This is an RNA transcript of Nannospalax galili (Upper Galilee mountains blind mole rat), 2872 nucleotides long. It is a transcript of the gene named coatomer subunit gamma-1 pseudogene, with no coding region annotated. The transcript has a single exon. Lineage: Eukaryota; Metazoa; Chordata; Mammalia; Rodentia; Spalacidae. The record is from RefSeq and is a predicted model, not a curated record.
AUGGUCCAGAAGCUGGUGAGAGAAGCAGCUACUGGAUGCUGCUGCUGUGAGCAUCUCCCUACUGCCUGGAGUGACCCUGGCACGAGGUUGAAGAAAUUCGAUAAGAAAGAUGAGGAGUCAGAUGGAGGCUUCAACCCACUCCAGAACCUUGAGAAGAGUGCAGUUCUCCAAGAGGUUCAGGUCUUUAAUGAAACUCCCAUCAACCCUUGGAAAUGUGCACACAUUCUCACCAAGAUUCUUUAUCUCAUAAACCAGGGGGAACACCUGGGAACCACAAAAGUGACUGAGGCCUUCUUUGCUAUGACCAAGCUCUUUCAGUUCAAUGAUCCCACACUCUGCUCAUGUGCUACUUGACCAUCAAGGAGAUGUCUUGCAUCGCAGAUGGGGCCAUCAUUGUCACCAGCAGCCUGACAAAAGUUAUGACUGGGAAAGAAGACAACUACCGUGGUCCAGCCAUGUGAGCCCUCUGUCAGAUCUCUGAUAGUACGAUGCUGUAGGCUGCUGAGUAUUACAUGAAACAAGCAAUUGUGGACAAGGUGCCCAGUGUCUCCAGCUCUGCCCUAGUGUCUUCCCUGCACCUACUUAAUUGCAGCUUUGAUGUGGUCAAGAGCUGGGUGAACGAGGCCCAAGAAGCAGCAUCUAGUGAUAACAUCAUGGUUCAGUACCAUGCACUAGGACUUUUGUACCAUGUAUGUAAGAAUGACCCACUGGCUGAUAGUAAGAUGAUCAGCAAGUUAACCUGGCAUAGGCUGAAGUCCCCUUUUGGGUACUGCCUGAUGAUCUGAGUGGACAGCCAGCAAGUGGAAGAGGAGGAUUGGAACCCCUGACAGCCUAUUGUUUGACUUCAUCGAGAGCUGUUUGCCAUAACAAUCACGAGAUAGUGUUGUAUGAAGCUGCCUCAGCCAUGGUCAACCUGCCAGAUUGCAGUGCAAAAGUGUUGGCUCCUGCUCUGUCAGUGCUCCAGCUUUUCUGUAGCUCGCUCAAGGCUUCACUCAGCUAUGCUCCAGUCUGCGCUGUCAAUAAGGUUGCCGGGAAACACUGGUCAGCAGUGACUACCUGCAAUCUGGAUCUGGAGAACCUGGUCACAGACUCAAACCAGCAGCAUCACCACUUUGGCCAUCACUACCCUCCUUAAGACAGGGAGCUGAGAGCAGCAUCGACCACCUUAUGAAGCAGAUCUCUUCCUUCAUGUCAGAUAUCUCAGACGAAUUCAAGGUGGUGCUUGUCCAGGCUAUCAGUGCUCUUUGCCAGAAGUAUCCUCAAAAAACAUGCGGUGCUCAUGAACUUCCUGCUCACCAUGCUAAGGGAAGAGGGUGGUUUUGAGUAUAAGAGCACCGUUUUGGACUGUAUCAUCAGCAUCACUGAGGAGAACUCGGAAAGCAAGGAGUCAGGUCUGUCAGAUCUGUAUGAAUUCAUCCAAGACUGUGAGUUCAAGGUCCUGGCUACCCUUUCAAGUACAUCUGCUUCAUCUACAACUGUAUGGUCCUGGAGCAUGAAAAGGUUCUGGUAAGUGCAGCUAGUGCUCUAGCCAUGUUUGGAGCCCAGAGCUAAGAGAUGUUAUCUAGUAUCUUGUUGUUGCUGAAGAUAUGUGUGGUGGAUGAUGACAACAAAGUGAGGGACCGAUCCAUCUUCUAUCUGAAUGUCCUAGAGCAGAAAGAGAAGGCCCUCAAUACAGGUUAUCUCCUAAAUGGUCUGACUGUGUCCAUCCCUGGUCUGAAGAGGGCCCUGCAGCAGUACACACUAGAACCAUCAGAAAAGCCAUUUGACCUAGAGUCUGUGCCUCUGGCUACCACCCCUAUGACAGAGCAGAGAACAGACAGCACUGCCGACCACAACAGUGAAACAGCUUGAGGAAAUGGCAGCCACCCCCAGCAGGAGAUUUUCUAGGAGUGUUUAGCAGCUGUGCCAGAGUUCCAGGGGCUAGAACCCCUCUUGCAAGUCUUCACCUGAGCCAGUGGCCCUCACGGAAUCAGAGACAGAUUACAUCAUCCUUUGCACCAAACAUACCUUCACUGACCACAUGACGUUUCAGUUUGAGUGCGCAAACACCCUCAACAACCAGACCCUGGAGAAUGUCAUGGUGCAGAUGGAGUCCACAGACGCCUAUGAGGUACUGUGCUAUGUGCCUGCCUGGAGCCUUCCCUACAACCAGACUGGGACCUGAUACACACUGAUGGUUCUACCCAACGAAGACCCCACGGCUGUAGUAGGCACGUUCAGCUGUAUGAUGCAGCUCACCAGCAAGGACUGCGAUCGCACCACGGGAGACACUGAUGAAGAAGACUACAAGGAGGAACAUGUGCUGGAGGAUCUAGAAGUUACUGUGGCUGACCACAUUCAAAAAGCCAUGAAAGUGAACUUUGAAGCAGCCUGGGAUGAGAUCAGGAAUGAGUUUGAGAAGGAGGAAAAAUUCACCCUGUCUUCCUUCAGGACACUUGAAGAGGCUGUGGGCAAUAUUGUGAAGUUCUUGGGAAUGCAUCCUUGUGAGAGGUCAGACAAAAUGACAGAUAACAAGAGUACUCACACACUGAUCCUGACCAGUGUGUUCUGGGGUGAUCAUGACAUUCUUGUGGGCUCCAGGCUGCUGUUUUUAGACACAGUGACAAUGCAAGUGACAGCCAGAAGCUCAAAGGAGGUGCCAGUAAACAUCAUCUUGGCAAAAUCGUGGGCUAAGGGUGGAGAGGCCCUGCUCCCACCUUCUCACAACACUAAGAAGUUGCUCCUUUUUCAUGAUACUGGCUGGAAACCCACACGCCCCUAUGUUCAGAAGCAAUCAGGAAUCAGUAUAGAUUUUGUUUUCAAUUCUACUCUGUCACCGAGGAAUGAAAGUGUAGAUCUUGCUGCCCUGCCUGCAAGAGGACAUCACAAGUGA